Hordeum vulgare subsp. vulgare (domesticated barley) is the source of this 2648-nucleotide long non-coding RNA. RefSeq lists it as uncharacterized. Lineage: Eukaryota; Viridiplantae; Streptophyta; Magnoliopsida; Poales; Poaceae. The transcript has 7 exons. The record is from RefSeq and is a predicted model, not a curated record.
CAGAUCCAACAUCCAUCCAAACACAAGCACACGGGAUGUUGCGGUUGAACCACCACGGGUCGAGAUCCCGUCGUCCCCCGGCGCGCCGGCGCCCUCGGAGUACGUGCUCCUCCGCCUACCCCGCGCGUACCUCCACCUCAUCGAUCGCCGGCGCAGCCUCCCGGUCACCGUCGUCAAGCUCGACCCUGCCACUACUCCUUCUCCCUCACCGUCCCCGCCUCCCCCGACGUGCGUGCAUGCGUGCGUGCGGGUCUCCUGCUGCUGCCAACUGAGACUGGCCGUGGAUGAGGAGGGGAGACGGCGACGACAAGAAGAUAACCAAAUCAAUGUUAGGUGAACAUGUCUGUUCCCUUGUAUUCAUGAAGAUCACGAGAAUUGAAACCCCAUGAACGGAUAAUCAAGACUGAAUUUUAUAACGAGUCGUAGUUUUUCUAAGAAAGAACAAAGGAUGCAUGUUGUCAAUCACAAAGCUGCAGAAUAGCACGGUCAUAACAUGGAUGCAUUAGUAUAUUUGGUCUGUGGAGAUGCAUAUAGUCUCUGCCUCUUAUCUCGUGGAGGUAGUUAUUCUUACAAGGGUGAGCAUGAAGCAUGGAUCUAUGCGUUGUGAUUCUCCUAUUCUGCAUCUUCCAGUUUAUCCAUGGCCAGCCUGAUGACCUAGUAUCAACCAACAACGGUUCCUCCUGGAGCUCAACCCUGGGGUACAGUCCCAGGUCAGGGCGCUCCUCUUGUGUCACCAAUGGUGCAGCCUGGGCAUCAGCCUCUCUCAGCUUCAGUGCCCUCGUGAGUUCAACUGAACCUAGCUCUGCAGAUUGGCAAAAACACAGUUCAGGGGAUGGAUGGAUAAGCUUUAAAUGCACGCCCGACAAAAGAUGAGUUAAGUACGAGCAUUGACGUGGUGUAGUAACUGAUCUCAAUUGUUUUGUCGCCUUUUUGAGCAACCAUGCUCGUUAGAUAUUAAUCUAUACUUAUACUAAUUACAGGCUUUCAAGAAAUUCCCAGGUAAAUUAGUAAAUAUGAGCGGUUAAUCUGGUAGGUCCAAAUUAUAACGGUGUAGAUUAGUUCGUUAAAAAUCCUGUGCCGUGAGGUUUUUUGUACUAUUUUCAUAGAGUUAUUUGCACGGACACAUCCAAGAUUUAAAAACAAUUUGCAUGCAAGUGUUUUGUCUUAUUAUAUCACCAAACAUCUUAUCUUACUUUAAAAAAAAGGCCCAUCGAGGCUCAUGUCUUCAUGUCAUCUGUUCUCAAUAAAUCACCAUACCUAAAAGAAACUCCAUCAAUCGCUGAUUAGAUCUGGAGUAUAACUACCUUGCGUCCUGUGAGCAUCCUACCUAACACGUUCCUCAGCCAACGGCCGCCGCCGCCGCUCGAGAUGUCUUUAUUGGAUCCGCCACCCCUUACUCUCGGCUCCUUCUCCCUCCCUCUACACAGGUUCCUUUCUCUCCUGCUAGCAUCUAGCUUCUAUGGUCUCCAAGUUGUUGCCAUCCCUAAUACGAAGCUCAUGCGAUCAUCUAGCUUCUGUGGUCUGCUGCCUAUCAUCAUGGAUAAUCUCCAUAAGAUAUUGCAGGAGUUUAUAUCCAGGCUAAUCUCCAUAGGAGGGUGAUUUUGGUAAUCGUUCUGUUAACAUUCAGUAUAUUAUGGCACACUCUACACAAGCAAGAUGCAUGAUUUCUUCACUUGAUGUUGAUGGCUAUGGCCACGAAUACGUGUUCUCUUACUGCUACGUCUAAGUCCGGUUGCUCGAUCAAAUUGCUGAAUUUUAGACUCCAUGCUUCGUUUCUUACGUCCCAAUUUGUACUAUACUUUAAUACCUCUGGAGUAUGUAUAAUUUGUAUUUGUAUUUGUUACAUAAGGUUAUGCCCUUCUAUAAUGCUGAAUUUGUUACAUAAGGUUAUGUAUUUGUAUACUUUGUAUUUGUUACAUAAGGUUAUGCCCUUCUAUGUAUACUUUGUAUUUGUAUUUGUAUAGUUUGUAUUUGUUACAUAAGGUUAUGCCCUUCUAUAAUGCUGAAUUUCUCAUCGUGGGUUCCUUUCCUGCAGCUUUUAAUGAUAUCUUAGUGCGGGGUCUGAAGUUGAUUGAGAGACCACUCCUAUCUCAUGUUUGUGCUUCUCCGUAAUAGGUUUACCUUCUCUGGGUAUUUAAUUGUCCGUUGCUGACAGGGAGUGGAGCUGCUGAGAUUUCCUCUGGCCAAUCCUCUUGGAGAAGCAGUAGUGGAAGGAAGGAUGAAGUCUACACUCUAUACAUGUUUUUGUCUACCCCCAAUGCCUCCAAAGCUCGGGCUAUGCUACUGAAUGGCGCAGUUAGGAAGGGGGAGCGCCUGGUUCCUGCUGGAACAUUGGAUCUCUUUAUGAGAUGCACAUUUCCCGUGCCUAAUGCAUCUCCGAGCCCUUCGGUCCUUCCCGUCGAGUUGCACCUCAUAGUUCACCAUUGGAAUCCAUGCUUUGUUUUUGUCGCUCUCAGGUUGCAUAUCAUGCCAAAUUGUCUCUGGCCUACUCGCUCGUUGUUUGUUGUCUCAUUUGUCUCUCGCUAUGGAAAAAAUAUAAGAGUGUUUAUAUAGUACCCUGUUUUAGCAUUAUUGAUGAAUUGUAUUCGCAGACUAAUAUGAUGAAUUGUAUUAGGAGACUAAUAUGAUGAAUUGUAUUCGGAGACUAA